CUAGCUGUAAACGAUGAGCACUGGAUCGAGGGACCUCCCACAGUUUCUCGGUCGUAGCGAAAGUGUUAAGUGCUCCGCCUGGGGAGUAUGGUCGCAAGGCUGAAACUCAAAAGAAUUGACGGGGGCUCACACAAGCGGUGGAGGAUGUGGCUUAAUUCGAGGCUACGCGAAGAACCUUAUCCUAGUCUUGACAUGCUUGAGAAUCUCCCUGAAAGGGGAGAGUGCUCUUCGGAGAGCUCUUGCACAGGUGC
RNAcentral lists this ribosomal RNA (251 nucleotides) under uncultured Blastopirellula sp. RNAcentral describes it as "partial 16S ribosomal RNA". It matches the Rfam family "Bacterial small subunit ribosomal RNA", at positions 796 to 1041 of the family's 1533-position model. The record is from RNAcentral. Lineage: Bacteria; Pseudomonadati; Planctomycetota; Planctomycetia; Pirellulales; Pirellulaceae.